This 73-nucleotide transfer RNA is filed under the name Ailuropoda melanoleuca (giant panda). It matches the Rfam family "tRNA". From Rfam's summary of the family: Transfer RNA (tRNA) molecules are approximately 80 nucleotides in length. Their secondary structure includes four short double-helical elements and three loops (D, anti-codon, and T loops). Further hydrogen bonds mediate the characteristic L-shaped molecular structure. tRNAs have two regions of fundamental functional importance: the anti-codon, which is responsible for specific mRNA codon recognition, and the 3' end, to which the tRNAs corresponding amino acid is attached (by aminoacyl-tRNA synthetases). tRNAs cope with the degeneracy of the genetic code in two manners: having more than one tRNA (with a specific anti-codon) for a particular amino acid; and 'wobble' base-pairing, i.e. permitting non-standard base-pairing at the 3rd anti-codon position. Lineage: Eukaryota; Metazoa; Chordata; Mammalia; Carnivora; Ursidae. The record is from Rfam by way of RNAcentral.
ACCUGGCUGGCUCAGUUGGUAGAGCAUGGGACUCUUGAUCUCUGGGUCAUGAGUUCGAGUCCCAUGUUAGCUG